Long non-coding RNA from Macrobrachium nipponense, 2771 nucleotides. RefSeq lists it as uncharacterized. The transcript is spliced from 2 exons. NCBI's taxonomy places the organism in Eukaryota, Metazoa, Arthropoda, Malacostraca, Decapoda, Palaemonidae. The record is from RefSeq and is a predicted model, not a curated record.
UUACUUUCAGAUGUGAAGAGGGGUCCCACAGAUGAUUUCAGAAUUUCCAAGGUUACACGAUACCUCAUCGUCAGAGCCCUUCAAGUUAUAAUGUGGAAAUAACAGAGAAGCCAAGAAACAUAUCUCGUCAGUUGUCUCCACAAACGCACUGUUCUCCGAGAGAUUUGAAGCUUUUGCAGAAAAUUUGAUGGUCAUUAUUGUAAAAGUGUAAAAAAAAAGUACAUGAACAAGACAUUGAGUAUCUCAUCUAGAAUUCAUUGGACUUUCUCCUCGGCAUUUGUCUAGUUUAAAAAUUGCUGGUGGUCUGAGGUAACAGUUACAGCAAUGGAACAGCUGAGAAGAGACCAAAGGGAACUAGUUAAGAGUUGAGACAGAGAACAAUGCAUCUGGUGCUGAAGGGAUACUAUAGAGAAUUUUUAAUGUUAUUUAUUUCCGUGGCUUGGAUUUUAUCUCCUAUGAAUGAGAACUUAAGAAUAAUUUCCAUUUGUAUUGUACAUAUCUUACACAUCUUCAUCGAUACUCUUACAUCAGUUCUCCUCAUAUGAGGUUAGGUGUUUGAAGGAUUUUCUCCACUGUCUUAGACCUAUAUAGUUUCAGUUAGAAUUCCCUCUUAAUUUCAGACCAUGCCUUGCCCUUAGCCUCUCUCCCGUCAUUGUAAACUUAGUUUUGCUUGCUUUGGUUUUCAGUCUUGAGCUCUCUUUUCCAUUCUUCCAUUUUUGAAAUAUAAUUACAAGACCUCUUUCUCUGACACCAUUGCUCUGUGAUAGACACCAGUGUUUGUCUCAAUUUCUCUGGAUGUUUUUACCGCUAUAUUCACGCAAGUUCUAAUAGCUUGAUAAAGUUCUAACACCUUCUUGUGCCCUUUGUUUUUGUAAGUCUCAAUCUAACUGCUUCUCUAGGUAUUUCGUCCAGUGCUUUCUCAAGACAUACCAACACAUCACUCCCUUGUCUUGCAUGUUUCCUCUCAUGUAGUCAUUGAUUUUAACAGAUUUUUUUAACAGUUCUUCCAUCACCCAUACUUAAGUACACUGCGUUUCAGCAGUCUUCCUCCUCCUCUGUAUUUUGCUCGGCACUAUGAGUUACCUUAACCUUGACGUGUAAUUUGCAUAAUCUCUCUUCUCAUUCUUGUAGUUCCAUCACUGCCUCUUUAAUACUGCCUUAAAGGACCCUGCACUAUUUCCUUCUUGUGUCUGACCUGUUGCUCACAUUCUGUAUUUCUUGAUGUGUAUGUGUAGGCAUUUAUUCAUUUCCAUUAUGCCUCUUCGUAAGCAUUUAUUCAUUUCCAUUAUGCCUCUCCUGCAUAGGAUUUUGUAUCCUGAUAGUUAAUGACCUUUCAACACAAUUCUCCCUGUAAAUUAGUAAGUUAUCUGUAUUGUUGACUAUUUAGUUAUUAAUUUGAUUUAUAUUUUCCUUUUUAAUAGGUGAUCUCGUCUUUCUGUAUUUUCCAUUUCCUUCUGUUACUUCUUUCUAAUGAACGUCAUAAUAUCCUUUGGAAGCUUGAAUUUCAAGUCAGUGCCCCUUUGGUGGGCUUGUUCCUUGUGAAUAGGGUUCAUUUUCUGAACGAUAAUAAUAAUAAUUUAAGACUUCCUACAACUGCAAGAGAUGUUUGCUCAUUUUGAGUUGGCUACUAUUUCAUUGUAUUCUGGUUGAUUCCUCAAUGGUUAUUUCUCUCUCUCUUCGGUGCAUUGUUCAUGUCUGAAGGAAGGAUUCCCCUAACUCUUCAGAUGUUGCAUUCUUUGUUGAGAUCUGUAAUGAUCCCUCUCUCUAAUCAACAUUGCCAGUUCAGUCUCUUUCUCUUCUAGAAGAUCUGCAAGCACUGCUUUUACUGUUCCACACUGUCUUUGUAUUAUAUACUUUUUCCCUUUUCAUGUCAUAUGUGUUUACUCUUACAUUAUUCAAGACAGGUUCAUUCUCUGAUUUCACACAUGCCCCAGCACCUCCUUACUGAGCCACUUGCCUGUUUUCCUCCUCUUAUCAUAGAUUGCAUGAGGUUGCCCAGGUCAUUCACUAUUUCCUGUGGUAUUUUUCUGGUUCCUAGCUGACUGACAGGAGUAUCUGUUGUUUUUAUUUCUAUCUACAACACUUGUACGGGGCUACCAAUUAAGUUGCAACUUGCUUGGCUUAAUGUAGAUGGUACAAAGUAUACUCUUUGGCAUCUGUUAGACCUUGAAUAUAUUGCUUUCUGCCCUUUACUUUUCAACUUUGCAUUGUUCAAUUUUCAGGAUUAAUUUUUUUUAUAUAUAUUGUCCAUUACUCAGUCCUUUGUUCACAAAGAUUUGAAGAAUGUUUAAUGGAAGCAUGUUAACUUUGAGUUGAAAAUGCAAGAAACUUUGAGAAUGUUAAUGGCGAGUUGCAAAUACAAAAAACUUAUUAAUUUUUGUUAUGGAAUUUUGUGAGAGUUGUCAGCAGUAUUAGAAAUAACAAGUUGCACAUUUUUAGAGAACUGCAAUUUAUUAGAUAAAACUAAAAUUUUGCUGUUAAUAACUAACCAUUCAAGUCAGCCUAAUGAGAAUUUAAUGCUUUAUCUGCUUUAUUGUCUUAGUAAUUCAAGAAAUUAUCCAGGGAGUCUUGUGAGGGUCCAACAAUGUGACUUUGUGGUCUUGUUAAUGAGUGUACAGUAUAAGUGCAAAGGUGCCUUAUAAUAUUUUUGUAAUGAAGUAUUUUAUUUUGACUAGGUUUUUACAGUUAAUUUAUAUGUAGAAGCAUUUAUAAUGUUAUAUUUAGAAGUAUUUUCGUAUUUUAUUGUUCUUUACAUGUAAUGUUUCAUUGCA